This 254-nucleotide ribosomal RNA is filed under the name uncultured bacterium. Its description in RNAcentral is "partial 16S ribosomal RNA". It matches the Rfam family "Bacterial small subunit ribosomal RNA", at positions 523 to 775 of the family's 1533-position model. The record is from RNAcentral.
GUACGGGGGAGCAAGCGUUGUUCGGAUUUACUGGGCGUAAAGGGCGCGUAGGCGGCCACCGCAAGUCGACUGUGAAAUCUCCGGGCUUAACCCGGAAAGGUCAGCCGAUACUGCGGGGCUAGAGUGCAGAAGGGGCAACUGGAAUUCUCGGUGUAGCGGUGAAAUGCGUAGAUAAUCGAGAGGAACACCUGCGGCGAAGGCGGGUUGCUGGGCUGACACUGACGCUGAUGCGCGAAAGCGUGGGGAGCGAACAG